This 274-nucleotide ribosomal RNA is filed under the name uncultured bacterium. Its description in RNAcentral is "partial 16S ribosomal RNA". It matches the Rfam family "Bacterial small subunit ribosomal RNA", at positions 523 to 796 of the family's 1533-position model. The record is from RNAcentral.
AUACGGAGGGUGCAAGCGUUAUUCGGAAUCACUGGGCGUAAAGGACGCGUAGGCGGGUUGGCAAGUCAGAUGUGAAAUCCUACAGCUUAACUGUAGAACUGCAUUUGAAACUGCUAACCUAGAGUAUGGGAGGGGGAGAUGGAAUUAGUGGUGUAGGGGUAAAAUCCGUAGAUAUCACUAGGAAUACCGAAAGUGAAGGCGAUCUCCUGGAACAUAACUGACGCUAAGGCGUGAAAGCGUGGGGAGCAAACAGGAUUAGAUACCCUAGUAGUCC